RNAcentral lists this ribosomal RNA (21 nucleotides) under Rhizopus homothallicus. Its description in RNAcentral is "partial 28S ribosomal RNA". The record is from RNAcentral. Lineage: Eukaryota; Fungi; Mucoromycota; Mucoromycetes; Mucorales; Rhizopodaceae. RNAcentral also lists the same sequence under 1 other name.
UGAAGUCAGGUGGGACUACCC